Molecule: long non-coding RNA, 2402 nt
Organism: Pongo pygmaeus (Bornean orangutan)
Lineage: Eukaryota; Metazoa; Chordata; Mammalia; Primates; Hominidae
Exons: 3
Source: RefSeq, a predicted model, not a curated record
GCUUCCGUGUUGCUGGCUUCCUCUUGGAUCACUUCCUCUGGAGGAAACCAACUGUGUGUUGUGAGAAGAUUUAAGCAAAUCCAGGGAGAGGUUCACAUGGUAAGGAUCGGAGGCCACCAGCCAACAACCAUGCUGGUGAGGGAUUUUUAGAAGCAGAUCUUCUAGCUCCAGUCAGGCCUUCAGAUGACUGCAUCCCACGUUGACUCCAACAUUGUGAAAUGACACUGAGUCAGACUCACCCAGCAAAACCACCAAACUCCUGACCCACAGAAACAGAGUCCACAGGACUUUAGACACAGAGGAGCUCUACUUGAAGAUCUAUUCUUAAAGAACUACACCUGGUCAGGCAUGGUGGCUUAUGCCUAUAAUCCCAACACUUUGAUAGGCCGAGGCAGGAUGACUGCUUGAGCCCAAAAGUUUGAGAACAACCUGGGAAACAUGGUGAAACCCCAUCACCACAAAAAAAAACUUUAAAAAUUAGCCAGCCAUUGUGGUGUGUGCCUGUAGUCCCAGCUACUUGGGAGGCUGAAGCAGGAAGAUUGCUUGAGUCCAGGGGUCAAGGCUACAAGUAAGCUGAGAUUGCACCACUGCACUCCAGCCUCGGCAACAGAGUGAGACUCUGUCUCAACUAAAAAAAAAAGAACUACAGAACUACACCUGAGAAGACUUCUCUGUAUUGGGAUAUGAUUUAAAUAAUUACAUCCUGGACUUCAAACCUGGACAUCUUGUACAAGUUUGAGACUUUUGGGAGGAGUUGAGAGGAGUGAGAGUAUUUCACAUGUGGGAGAAAUAGAAAUAAUUUGUGGCCAGAUGGUGGACUGCGAUGAUUUAAAAUACGUCCACAGAUUAUUUAACAUUCCUUUCAAAAGAUGGUACCUAAUUACCCUCCACCUGAAUUUGGGCUGGUCUUAGUGACUCGUUUGUAGUGAAUAGAAUGUAGAAGUGAUUGUGUGUGAUGUCAGAGACUAGGUCAUAAAAGUGAUGGUGUCUUCCGGCUUACUCCUACUCUUGGAUGAUCUGCUCUGGGGAGAGUUGUGAGUAGGCCUCCAGCCCACAGCCAUGUGAGUGAGCCUUUUGAAGAGUGGAUCUUCCAGGCCCAGUCAAGCCUUCAGAUGACUGCAGCCCCAGCCAACAUCUUGGGAGACCCUGAGUCAGAAACCCCUGCUAAGUCACUUCCAGAUCCCUAAGUCUCAGGAACUGUGAAAAAAAAAAAAAACAGCCACCUGAGGGCCAAACUGAUGCUCAGGGAGUUGGAGUAUCUUCUUCCAUCACAGGUGAGGAGCCGUCAAGCUGCCCCAUGCCAGGACACCAUCUGCUGCAAGAUUGCAUCCCCUCUGAGUGGCAUGAGAGCCACAGCAGGGCGGGCACAAAUCCUCCCUCACUUCACACCCCCAUGCUGGUAAUGAGCUGACAAGCUGCAGAUGGAGCAGGUCAGGAAAGAGAACAAACUUGCCUACCUCCCAAGCAACAUACAAAAAUGACAUCCUUUCUAGAUUAGGACCACAUUUGCACGCAUCCACUUUAGUCUAAUACAUCUUUAUUAAUCUCAAAAUAUGUCUUUUUGGUCAAUAACAUUCUUUUAAUAACCAUUAAAGGUAAUCUAUUAUUAAAUGGUUAAUUUUGCUUCCCUUAGAUAAAGAUAACAGAAUUCAAAUACGAACUUGCCCCGUUCUGUUGAAGUGUAGUGAGAGCUGACUGUGUGAACUGAAUAAUGCUUGUCCUGUACAGAAUGGUGAAGAAAAGCAAAGUUUUGUUCACCUGGGAACAUUUUUUAAAAAUACAUUGAUACCUAAUUGAAUACAUAUCAUAAACAUACAAAUUACACUAUUUAAAAUAUACUUACUACAAAAAGAUCCUGAACAUUAUUGGUUAAUGCAAAUAAAACUUCUUCACAUUAUUAUAAAAGUCAAAAUAUUUUACCUCAAUUUGUGCUUUUAAAACUAUUGCUAGCUUCCCCUAGGAAAAGUCAAAAUAACUGUAUAUUGUAGAAAAAAGUGUUUGCACUUUUGACCCAAAUACACGUAUCAACACAAGAAGAGGCAAAUUAACAUCUAAUAAUUGUUUUAAAUUUUCCUGAAACAAACAAACAAAACCUAUUUAUUCAAUGAAAUACAUUUCUAUGGUAAUUGCUAAUUUAAUGUUUUCACGCGUGCACAAAAGAACUACUUUUUCUUGGUCACUAAUGAUAGCAAACACUAGAUGUCUAGGAAUAUAUAUAUAUGUGUGUGUUAUAUAUAUAUUUACAUACAUACAUAUUUAAGAGAGCAUAUAAAGAAAAUAGGACAGUUUGCACAUACAUAUUCAAAGCCUCUCAGAAAUUCCACUUAGGUCCACAUUAGUGAGCCUUAAUGUAUUGCCAGCGUUCUGUGUAAAUAACUAGAGAAGUAAAACAAACUUUAGUA